Non-coding RNA from Paralichthys olivaceus (Japanese flounder), 547 nucleotides. Lineage: Eukaryota; Metazoa; Chordata; Actinopteri; Pleuronectiformes; Paralichthyidae. The record is from RefSeq and is a predicted model, not a curated record.
AAGAUGCCGGUUCAGAAACAUGAAAGGCAAAUCAGGGAAGAAGGGGCGAGAUUGGAUCUUGGAGAAGAAGGAGAGGAGGAGGAGACAAGGACGGGAAGUUCGAGCCGACACUAAAUACACUGGACGUCAGAGAAGACCUCAUUUCUAGCUGUGACUCAUGCAGCUGGGCCCUCAUUAGCUCCCGUCUGUGCCUCCCCACACACACACUCACCUCUGGAGCCACAGAGUGUUUGGACUCAAAUAAUUUCUCAACUCUUAAAUUCAAGUGGAUGGGAGAGAGUGAAAUGCUAUCAUUUUUAUAUUUGGUCAAGUGUCUGGGAAAUUGUUUCUCACACACAUUGGUAAGACUGCUCUCUCUCCGUGUUCAUGCUGGAUGGAGAAUAUUAAGUACAUGAACAGACGUGUGCUGCCGGCUGGUGACGCAAGAACAACACAGUCACAGAAUUAAAACAAUGUUCAUAGAUUAUGAAAUGUCAUCCUCCAUUUCUGGUAAUCUGAUUGUUUUAUCUGUAAUUCUUUCUCAAUUAAAACUAAACAAUUAAAUAUU